GCCUGGGUGGCUCAGUUGGUUGAGCGUCCGACUUCGGCUCAGGUCACGAUCUCACGGCUUGUGGGUUCGAGCCCCGCAUCAGGCU
Molecule: transfer RNA, 85 nt
Filed under: Felis catus (domestic cat)
Lineage: Eukaryota; Metazoa; Chordata; Mammalia; Carnivora; Felidae
Rfam family: tRNA
About the family: Transfer RNA (tRNA) molecules are approximately 80 nucleotides in length. Their secondary structure includes four short double-helical elements and three loops (D, anti-codon, and T loops).
Source: Rfam by way of RNAcentral